UGGGGAAUAUUGCACAAUGGGGAAACCCUGAUGCAGCAACGCCGCGUGAGUGAAGAAGUAUUUCGGUAUGUAAAGCUCUAUCAGCAGGGAAGAAAAUGACGGUACCUGACUAAGAAGCCCCGGCUAACUACGUGCCAGCAGCCGCGGUAAUACGUAGGGGGCAAACGUUAUCCGGAUUUACUGGGUGUAAAGGGAGCGCAGGCGUGUGGCAAGUCUGAUGUGAAAGCCCGGGGCUCAACCCCGGGACUGCAUUGGAAACUGUCACACUAGAGUGCCGGAGAGGUAAGUGGAAUUCCUAGUGUAGCCGGUGAAAUGCCGUA
This 320-nucleotide ribosomal RNA is filed under the name uncultured Lachnospiraceae bacterium. RNAcentral describes it as "bacterial SSU rRNA". It matches the Rfam family "Bacterial small subunit ribosomal RNA", at positions 355 to 692 of the family's 1533-position model. Lineage: Bacteria; Bacillati; Bacillota; Clostridia; Lachnospirales; Lachnospiraceae. The record is from RNAcentral.